This 490-nucleotide ribosomal RNA is filed under the name uncultured bacterium. RNAcentral's name for it is "partial 16S ribosomal RNA". It matches the Rfam family "Bacterial small subunit ribosomal RNA", at positions 30 to 507 of the family's 1533-position model. The record is from RNAcentral.
AUUGAACGCUGGCGGCAUGCUUUACACAUGCAAGUCGGACGGCAGCACAGAGAAGCUUGCUUCUUGGGUGGCGAGGGGCGAACGGGUGAGUAAUAUAUCGGAACGUACCGAGUAAGGGGGGAUAACUAAUCGAAAGAUUAGCUAAUACCGCAUAUUCUCUGAGGAGGAAAGCAGGGGACCUUCGGGCCUUGCGUGAUUCGAGCGGCCGAGAUCUGCUUAGCUAGUUGGUGGGGUAAAGGCCUGCCAAGGCGACGAGCAGUAGCGGGUGUGAGAGGAUGAUCCGCCACACUGGGACUGAGACACGGCCCAGACUCCUACGGGAGGCAGCAGUGGGGAAUUUUGGACAAUGGGCGCAAGCCUGAUCCAACCAUGCCGCGUGUCUGAAGAAGGCCUUCGGGUUGUAAAGGACUUUUGUCAGGGAAGAAAAGGCUGUUGCUAAUAUCGACAGCUGAUGACGGUACCUGAAGAAUAAGCACCGGCUAACUACGUG